UGAUGAUAAACAUAAAUCCAGUCAGAGCUCUGAGGAAAUGCAGAUGCAAAACAAACACUCCAAAAGUGCACAAAAAUGAUAUAGGCCUAUACAUAACAUUUUAAUCCUAUUGCCUUAAAUGUGUGUGAUUUUUUCACCUUUGCUCUUUGUUUCUAUGCAGAUAAUUUUUCUACUUUUUUUUUUUACAGCAUUUAGCCUGCUGCUUUUUUAAAUAAAUAGUAUUUAAUGAUAGCUAAUGAUAAUAUUAGUACAUUUUAGCACGCCAAUUUAAGCGUGCCAUUGUCAACUUUAAUUGUAUAAAGCGUAAUUUCCCAACAACAAAAAUGUAGCUAGUGAAAAUGCUGCGUGGCUAGUGAAAAACCACUAGCCACAUUGGCUAGUGAGUAAAAAAGUUAAUGUCAAGCCCUGCUAAUGGAACUAAUGGAAUAGUCACUAGUAACAAAAAAUUAAGUACUAGUAUGUAAUCAAUUGUUACUAGUAAAACAGGGAUAGUUACUAGUAGCUAAUAAAUAAGUACUAGUAGUUUUUAAAUAGCGACUAGUGCGUUUUACGGAAUAAAUGUUUAAAUGGCUUUCUAUAAAGGUUUAAGAUAACAAAUUGGGAUGAUACACCUCCUCUGCAUUUCAUUAGCCAGUGUACAGUAAUAUCAUUAAACCGUCAUAUAGCCUAAGUUAACAUUAAAGUUCAGCAGUUAAAAUACCUUGCACAACAUAGUAUUUUAAAUCAUAUCCUAUAUCAGCAUAUUCUGAAUCACAGUCAACCAUUCGUGAAAUCUAUGGAAUUAGUCUUUGUGCUUUGUGGCCUUUUAACCGUGCACAUCCAGAUAAUAUUUUUCAAUUAAUUCUAUGCAUUAUUGUUUCAACUUAAAUAUUUGACAUGAACUGUUUAUGUAUUAUGGUGGUUACCUUUUGUUUACAAAGUUGUGGGUGAUUCUGAUGUAAUUUCUGUCCCGACAGAUGGGAUGAGUCCCACAGAGGUCUGCUGGCAGACCCUUCUGGCCAUGUAGCCUAUACCAUGCACAUGUAUACCUAGCCUAUAUGUAAUGCUGACUAAUAUAUUUUCUUGCUUGCAUAUGGGACAAAAGAUGCACACUGACCAAAAUGAAAAAUCGGUCAUGUUUGGAGUGACUCAUGUGAUUGCUGUAGAUGGAUACAGCAAGAAAAUUGGUGCAAAAUACAAGUAUGCCUGCAAAGAACAAUCUAGCCAUCUAUGAAGAGGUGUACAGACCUGCAGUAACACAUUAUGGAAUGUGGGAUCAACUUCGCGUGGAUCAUGGCAAAGAGUUUUACCUGUGCCUCUACAUGCAGCAAAGACAGCCAUACCUCCAAACACAGUCAACAAGGAAUCACACAGUGGAAAGGAUGUGGCCAGAAAUUAACAACAGAGUGAAUUAUCCAUUAAAGGAGGCCCUCAUCCAGCUACAAGAUCAGGAAGCAAUAGAUAUGGAGGACAGUCUGACAAGGUUCUGCACAUCCAAUCUGACCUGCCAGAUGUGCCAGAUUGGCAUAAACAGAUUUGUGCAAUCAUGGAAUGCUCACGGGAUUCCAGAGAGAGGGAUACCAAAUCACCUAGCAGGGACUGGAACACCAAGACAAAUCACAACCGAUCUUCUACCAGAUGCCACAGUUGCAGCUGACAUGUAUCACAGGGACAUGGGAUCCUCCCUCACCAGAGUAUCUUCAUUCGGAAGUGUCCCCUUUCUGUCUGAGGCAGACAAAGUGAGAGCAGAGCAGCCCUUUGCACAUUAUUAUCCCCACCUUUCAGUUAUUUUUGACAGUGCUGUCAAUUACAACUAUGCUCCCUUCAAAGAGGCCUUGAUCUACCUCAUCGAUGUAACAAACACUUGUUCCUAAUUUCAUAUGCACUGGAUUGUGAGGAGCCUUGUAACGGAUCGCUGGACAUCUGUGUCUGUGGACACCAUUAUGCAGUUACUACUCCAACAGUAGAGGGUAUGCUCCAAGCACACCCUGUGCCACUUAACAUCACGGAUGUAAAUUCCUGAUGUACGCUUAAGGAAUGGCUCUGUUUUUACAGACUGGUUUCCUUAAUCUCAAUUGGCUAUACAAAGAACACCAGGAGCAGGACACUUGAGCUUUUAAAUGACCACUACAUCAUAAAUUCCACCAAACAACAACAAUAUGUUUGUCAGGGUGAAUAGAUUAUUUUUUGUCUUCUUGAGGACAAGACUUACCUCUGU
Molecule: RNA transcript, 2197 nt
Organism: Micropterus salmoides (largemouth bass)
Lineage: Eukaryota; Metazoa; Chordata; Actinopteri; Centrarchiformes; Centrarchidae
Exons: 5
Source: RefSeq, a predicted model, not a curated record